GGGUUGUGAGGUUAAGCGACUAAGCGUACACGGUGGAUGCCCUGGCAGUCAGAGGCGAUGAAGGACGUGCUAAUCUGCGAUAAGCGUCGGUAAGGUGAUAUGAACCGUUAUAACCGGCGAUUUCCGAAUGGGGAAACCCAGUGUGUUUCGACACACUAUCAUUAACUGAAUCCAUAGGUUAAUGAGGCGAACCGGGGGAACUGAAACAUCUAAGUACCCCGAGGAAAAGAAAUCAACCGAGAUUCCCCCAGUAGCGGCGAGCGAACGGGGAGCAGCCCAGAGCCUGAAUCAGUGUGUGUGUUAGUGGAAGCGUCUGGAAAGGCGCGCGAUACAGGGUGACAGCCCCGUACACAAAAAUGCACAUGCUGUGAGCUCGAUGAGUAGGGCGGGACACGUGGUAUCCUGUCUGAAUAUGGGGGGACCAUCCUCCAAGGCUAAAUACUCCUGACUGACCGAUAGUGAACCAGUACCGUGAGGGAAAGGCGAAAAGAACCCCGGCGAGGGGAGUGAAAAAGAACCUGAAACCGUGUACGUACAAGCAGUGGGAGCACGCUUAGGCGUGUGACUGCGUACCUUUUGUAUAAUGGGUCAGCGACUUAUAUUCUGUAGCAAGGUUAACCGAAUAGGGGAGCCGAAGGGAAACCGAGUCUUAACUGGGCGUUAAGUUGCAGGGUAUAGACCCGAAACCCGGUGAUCUAGCCAUGGGCAGGUUGAAGGUUGGGUAACACUAACUGGAGGACCGAACCGACUAAUGUUGAAAAAUUAGCGGAUGACUUGUGGCUGGGGGUGAAAGGCCAAUCAAACCGGGAGAUAGCUGGUUCUCCCCGAAAGCUAUUUAGGUAGCGCCUCGUGAAUUCAUCUCCGGGGGUAGAGCACUGUUUCGGCAAGGGGGUCAUCCCGACUUACCAACCCGAUGCAAACUGCGAAUACCGGAGAAUGUUAUCACGGGAGACACACGGCGGGUGCUAACGUCCGUCGUGAAGAGGGAAACAACCCAGACCGCCAGCUAAGGUCCCAAAGUCAUGGUUAAGUGGGAAACGAUGUGGGAAGGCCCAGACAGCCAGGAUGUUGGCUUAGAAGCAGCCAUCAUUUAAAGAAAGCGUAAUAGCUCACUGGUCGAGUCGGCCUGCGCGGAAGAUGUAACGGGGCUAAACCAUGCACCGAAGCUGCGGCAGCGACGCUGAUGCGUUGUUGGGUAGGGGAGCGUUCUGUAAGCCUGUGAAGGUGUGCUGUGAGGCAUGCUGGAGGUAUCAGAAGUGCGAAUGCUGACAUAAGUAACGAUAAAGCGGGUGAAAAGCCCGCUCGCCGGAAGACCAAGGGUUCCUGUCCAACGUUAAUCGGGGCAGGGUGAGUCGACCCCUAAGGCGAGGCCGAAAGGCGUAGUCGAUGGGAAACAGGUUAAUAUUCCUGUACUUGGUGUUACUGCGAAGGGGGGACGGAGAAGGCUAUGUUGGCCGGGCGACGGUUGUCCCGGUUUAAGCGUGUAGGCUGGUUUUCCAGGCAAAUCCGGAAAAUCAAGGCUGAGGCGUGAUGACGAGGCACUACGGUGCUGAAGCAACAAAUGCCCUGCUUCCAGGAAAAGCCUCUAAGCAUCAGGUAACAUCAAAUCGUACCCCAAACCGACACAGGUGGUCAGGUAGAGAAUACCAAGGCGCUUGAGAGAACUCGGGUGAAGGAACUAGGCAAAAUGGUGCCGUAACUUCGGGAGAAGGCACGCUGAUAUGUAGGUGAAGCGACUUGCUCGUGGAGCUGAAAUCAGUCGAAGAUACCAGCUGGCUGCAACUGUUUAUUAAAAACACAGCACUGUGCAAACACGAAAGUGGACGUAUACGGUGUGACGCCUGCCCGGUGCCGGAAGGUUAAUUGAUGGGGUUAGCGCAAGCGAAGCUCUUGAUCGAAGCCCCGGUAAACGGCGGCCGUAACUAUAACGGUCCUAAGGUAGCGAAAUUCCUUGUCGGGUAAGUUCCGACCUGCACGAAUGGCGUAAUGAUGGCCAGGCUGUCUCCACCCGAGACUCAGUGAAAUUGAACUCGCUGUGAAGAUGCAGUGUACCCGCGGCAAGACGGAAAGACCCCGUGAACCUUUACUAUAGCUUGACACUGAACAUUGAGCCUUGAUGUGUAGGAUAGGUGGGAGGCUUUGAAGUGUGGACGCCAGUCUGCAUGGAGCCGACCUUGAAAUACCACCCUUUAAUGUUUGAUGUUCUAACGUUGACCCGUAAUCCGGGUUGCGGACAGUGUCUGGUGGGUAGUUUGACUGGGGCGGUCUCCUCCUAAAGAGUAACGGAGGAGCACGAAGGUUGGCUAAUCCUGGUCGGACAUCAGGAGGUUAGUGCAAUGGCAUAAGCCAGCUUGACUGCGAGCGUGACGGCGCGAGCAGGUGCGAAAGCAGGUCAUAGUGAUCCGGUGGUUCUGAAUGGAAGGGCCAUCGCUCAACGGAUAAAAGGUACUCCGGGGAUAACAGGCUGAUACCGCCCAAGAGUUCAUAUCGACGGCGGUGUUUGGCACCUCGAUGUCGGCUCAUCACAUCCUGGGGCUGAAGUAGGUCCCAAGGGUAUGGCUGUUCGCCAUUUAAAGUGGUACGCGAGCUGGGUUUAGAACGUCGUGAGACAGUUCGGUCCCUAUCUGCCGUGGGCGCUGGAGAACUGAGGGGGGCUGCUCCUAGUACGAGAGGACCGGAGUGGACGCAUCACUGGUGUU
This 2699-nucleotide ribosomal RNA is filed under the name Escherichia coli. RNAcentral's name for it is "partial 23S ribosomal RNA". It matches the Rfam family "Bacterial large subunit ribosomal RNA". The record is from RNAcentral. Lineage: Bacteria; Pseudomonadati; Pseudomonadota; Gammaproteobacteria; Enterobacterales; Enterobacteriaceae.